Lemur catta (Ring-tailed lemur) is the source of this 1058-nucleotide long non-coding RNA. RefSeq lists it as uncharacterized. Lineage: Eukaryota; Metazoa; Chordata; Mammalia; Primates; Lemuridae. The record is from RefSeq and is a predicted model, not a curated record. The transcript has 2 exons.
GGUUCAACAUGUGAAUUUUGGUGGAAAACAAACAUUCAGUCUAAAGCAACCAAUAAAAACAAAAACAAAAACCACUGUUUGCCUGUUAUAUGCAAAUAUCGUUACGUAAAUAUUUGAUCUCUACUGAGAACUUUAGUUCACAACCCUGGCUAUACAAUAAAACUACCUGAGUUUUAAAAACAUCAGUGACCAUCAGGCUCCACCUCAGACUAAUGGCAUCUGAAUCUCGGAGGGUGGGGGUGAGGCUGGGUAUCCUUAUUUUUUAUAAACUCCACAGUUAUCCUUCUGUGCUGCCAAGGUGGGAAAACCACUGGUUUAGAGUAUUUGUUGAGCACAGCUGAGAUGGAUAACUCAACGUGUCCUCCUUCAUAUAAAGCUAUUAAUAAAAAUAUACAGUGGUAUAGACUUCUCCCUCACUCCCUAUUGAAAUUUGGGUUUGCUAAAUGAAAUAACUACUUGUAAUUGGUGGACAUUGUUCUCAAUGCUCUGGACAAUCCAAACUUGCAGCACCAAGCCCCUGCCACGUGGCAGAAAGCAGGGCAUGAGGUGUUGAGUUCCAGCUUCACUCCAUGAGCCACCCUGUGAGACAGUGUUCCCCAGUGCCCCAAGGACAAAUAGCCACAUGUGUCUCUCAUAUAGCCAGGUGCCAUCUUGGGGGGAGGGCAAAAUUCAGGAAAACGUUAUAUUUCCUGGAGUUAUCCAAGCAGAAAAAACUGAGUUACCUAGUGGGACAGUUAAAAUGAUUGGAUUGGACUGAAAUGGCCAGAGGGCACUAAGCUUUAGUUCUUUUCUUACAUUCUAACAAGAAGAAAGAAAAUCAGCUCUUCUAUAGACAAAAUAACAAAGCUCACAUUUUCUCUGUACACAGAAGUCGUUCAGUGAGCCAGCCAGACAGAGCCAAUCUUCAUUUCCAGUUUUCUGCCAUCCCGAACACGGAAGUUCUACUUGUCACCAUUUGGUGUCAGUAUUCUCCAUCUUAAAGGAUCUCUGGGUUGUAAAGCAAGAUCUGUUGGAGAAAGUCUGGAGUAUUUUAUUUAUGAAUAAAUUACUUUAUUUCA